UUAACUAUUUGCUUGUACUUCAGGCUGCACGGUUGGUCAGGGUUUGGGUUCCGGCCGGAGGGCCCCCUAAAGAGGGGGCCCGCCUGCGCCGAAUGCGGGCGGGAAGCGAAGGGUGGGGUUGGGCGCCAGAGCGCCCAGUGACCCAGUAAUGAUCCUUCCGCAGGUUCACCUACGGAAA
RNAcentral lists this unclassified non-coding RNA (178 nucleotides) under uncultured fungus. RNAcentral's name for it is "sequence contains ITS1". The record is from RNAcentral. Lineage: Eukaryota; Fungi.